RNAcentral lists this long non-coding RNA (220 nucleotides) under Nicotiana benthamiana. Its description in RNAcentral is "long non-coding RNA (NBEN_LNC031860)". The record is from RNAcentral. Lineage: Eukaryota; Viridiplantae; Streptophyta; Magnoliopsida; Solanales; Solanaceae.
AUAUAAAUCUUCGUCAUGUAAAACCCUUAGAUUUUCAUCAGAACUAGAACCAGUAGAAGAGGAAUCAGAUACAUCAGAACUAUAUUCAGAAUUUAGUAGAAUCUUACACCAAGAAUCCUUAAUUUUAUCAUCUAAAUCUAGACUCUUAAUCUUUUCCUGAGUUUUACACUCACUUGCAUAAUGACCAAAUUUACCACAUUUAUGACACUUAAUCGUUUUU